RNAcentral lists this ribosomal RNA (406 nucleotides) under uncultured bacterium. RNAcentral's name for it is "partial 16S ribosomal RNA". It matches the Rfam family "Bacterial small subunit ribosomal RNA", at positions 29 to 526 of the family's 1533-position model. The record is from RNAcentral.
AUUGAACGCUGGCGGCAGGCCUAACACAUGCAAGUCGAGCGAGCGGCGGACGGGUGAGUAAUGUCUGGGAACCUGCCUGAUGGAGGGGGAUAACUACUGGAAACGGUAGCUAAUACCGCAUACCAUCAGAUGUGCCCAGAUGGGAUUAGCUAGUAGGUGGGGUAAUGGCUCACCUAGGCGACGAUCCCUAGCUGGUCUGAGAGGAUGACCAGCCACACUGGAAUGGAGACACGGUCCAGACUCCUACGGGAGGCAGCAGUGGAGAGUAUUGCACAAUGGGCGCAAGCCUGAUGCAGCCAUGCCGAGUGUGGGAAGAGGGCCAUCGGGUGGUAAAGCACUUUAAGCGGGGGGGCGGUCCCCGCAGAAGAAGCACCGGCUAACUCCGUACCAGCAGCCGCGGUAAUAC